UGGGGAAUAUUGCACAAUGGGCGAAAGCCUGAUGCAGCAACGCCGCGUGAGGGACGACGGCCUUCGGGUUGUAAACCUCUUUUAGCAGGGAAGCGGUACCUGCAGAAAAGCACCGGCUAACUACGUGCCAGCAGCCGCGGUAAUACGUAGGGUGCAAGCGUUAUCCGGAAUUAUUGGGCGUAAAGAGCUCGUAGGCGGUCUGUCGCGUCUGCUGUGAAACCCGAGGCUCAACCUCGGGCCUGCAGUGGGUACGGGCAGACUAGAGUGCGGUAGGGGAGAUUGGAAUUCCUGGUGUAGCGGUGGAAUGCGCAGAUAUCAGGAGGAACACCGAUGGCGAAGGCAGAUCUCUGGGCGUAACUGACGC
RNAcentral lists this ribosomal RNA (364 nucleotides) under uncultured bacterium. Its description in RNAcentral is "bacterial SSU rRNA". It matches the Rfam family "Bacterial small subunit ribosomal RNA", at positions 355 to 746 of the family's 1533-position model. The record is from RNAcentral.